Molecule: ribosomal RNA, 474 nt
Filed under: uncultured Alphaproteobacteria bacterium
Lineage: Bacteria; Pseudomonadati; Pseudomonadota; Alphaproteobacteria
Description: bacterial SSU rRNA
Rfam family: Bacterial small subunit ribosomal RNA
Source: RNAcentral
AUUAGUUUGAUCCUGGCUCAGAACGAACGCUGGCGGCAGGCUUAACACAUGCAAGUCGAGCGUCCUCGCAAGGGGGCGCGGCAGACGGGUGAGUAACGCGUGGGAACAUACCUUUCGGUUCGGAAUAACCCAGGGAAACUUGGGACAAUACCGGAUACGUGCGAGAGCAGAAAGAUUUAUCGCCGAAAGAUUGGCCCGCGUCCGAUUAGCUAGUUGGUGAGGUAACGGCUCACCAAGGCGACGAUCGGUAGCUGGUCUGAGAGGAUGAUCAGCCACACUGGGACUGAGACACGGCCCAGACUCCUACGGGAGGCAGCAGUGGGGAAUAUUGGACAAUGGGCGCAAGCCUGAUCCAGCCAUGCCGCGUGAGUGAUGAAGGCCCUAGGGUUGUAAAGCUCUUUCGCCAGGGACGAUAAUGACGGUACCUGGAUAAGAAGCCCCGGCUAACUUCGUGCCAGCAGCCGCGGUAAUAAU